Molecule: ribosomal RNA, 253 nt
Filed under: uncultured bacterium
Lineage: Bacteria
Description: partial 16S ribosomal RNA
Rfam family: Bacterial small subunit ribosomal RNA
Source: RNAcentral
UACGGAGGGGGCUAGCGUUGUUCGGAAUUACUGGGCGUAAAGCGCGCGUAGGCGGCUUUGUAAGUUAGAGGUGAAAGCCCGGAGCUCAACUCCGGAAUUGCCUUUAAGACUGCAUCGCUAGAAUCAUGGAGAGGUGAGUGGAAUUCCGAGUGUAGAGGUGAAAUUCGUAGAUAUCAGGAGGAACACCGAUGGCGAAGGCAGGUCACUGGGCCGCAACUGACGCUGAGGAGCGAAAGCAUGGGGAGCGAACAGG